Molecule: ribosomal RNA, 697 nt
Filed under: Comamonas thiooxydans
Lineage: Bacteria; Pseudomonadati; Pseudomonadota; Betaproteobacteria; Burkholderiales; Comamonadaceae
Description: partial 16S rRNA
Source: RNAcentral
GCCUUCGCCAUCGGUGUUCCUCCGCAUAUCUACGCAUUUCACUGCUACACGCGGAAUUCCAUCCCCCUCUGCCGCACUCUAGCCUUGCAGUCACAAUGGCAGUUCCCAGGUUGAGCCCGGGGAUUUCACCACUGUCUUACAAAACCGCCUGCGCACGCUUUACGCCCAGUAAUUCCGAUUAACGCUUGCACCCUACGUAUUACCGCGGCUGCUGGCACGUAGUUAGCCGGUGCUUAUUCUUACGGUACCGUCAUGACCCGGGGAUAUUAGCCCCAGGCUUUUCGUUCCGUACAAAAGCAGUUUACAACCCGAGGGCCUUCAUCCUGCACGCGGCAUUGCUGGAUCAGGCUUUCGCCCAUUGUCCAAAAUUCCCCACUGCUGCCUCCCGUAGGAGUCUGGGCCGUGUCUCAGUCCCAGUGUGGCUGGUCGUCCUCUCAGACCAGCUACAGAUCGCAGGCUUGGUAAGCCUUUACCCCACCAACUACCUAAUCUGCCAUCAGCCGCUCUAGUAGCACAAGGCCCGAAGGUCCCCUGCUUUCAUCCGUAGAUCUCAUGCGGUAUUAGCUACUCUUUCGAGUAGUUAUCCCCCACUACUAGGCACGUUCCGAUGUAUUACUCACCCGUUCGCCACUCGUCAGCAUCCGAAGACCUGUUACCGUUCGACUUGCAUGUGUAAAGCAUGCCGCCAGCGUUCAAU